AUUGACAUGACUGCAAAUUAAGUCAGAGUUUACAUUUUUUGUGGCAAAGGGAUCAAUGAAUAUGAAGUUUGCUUUGACCAAGCUGUAGACCCAAAGUCUAUUCCCUUCCAGCUGCUAAACCAGAACACGAGACAAAGUAGGCAUUGGAAAUUGCAAAGACAUUUUAUGGUAACAUUGUUUCAGUAUACUGAUCCUGCAGCUGAAGCGUGUGUUGUGAAUAGCAUUUCAUUUUUACAACGUCCUUGUCAGGAAAAUAACUGGAAUCUUGGGAAUGGUGCAACUAAAUAGAUGGUAUCGUGAUGUACUCCAAUGAGCAUAAUUAUUCCUUCAGUGGCCAUAAGAGUAGAUGUGUCCUGCCCACACAGAAGCCAGAGCACCAAGUCUCAUGUCAUGAAAAAAAAAGCUCAUGUUCUGUCGGUUCUGAAUUGAUUAAACUUCCCAUUUAAAAUUUAUAAUAAAACACAUUUUUUGGAGGGUAAAAUGGCACUCGUUGAUGGGUUUCACUAAGCUGUACUCUUGCGUUUCAAAUAUUUUGGUGCUCAAUUAAGUCAAGACGAUCUUGGCCCUCACACUUUUGUGUAGCGUCACAAUUGUAUUGUUUUGAAAUUAAAAAUUCUCGCUGGUCACGUACGUGUUUAUUUGAAUACAAUAAAAAAGAUUUGUCCAAUA
This is a long non-coding RNA of Daphnia pulex (common water flea), 669 nucleotides long. RefSeq lists it as uncharacterized. The record is from RefSeq and is a predicted model, not a curated record. The transcript is spliced from 3 exons. Lineage: Eukaryota; Metazoa; Arthropoda; Branchiopoda; Diplostraca; Daphniidae.